Non-coding RNA from Acanthosepion pharaonis, 113 nucleotides. The record is from the annotation of a GenBank genome assembly. NCBI's taxonomy places the organism in Eukaryota, Metazoa, Mollusca, Cephalopoda, Sepiida, Sepiidae.
UAUGGUCAUAUCAAGCUGAAACAACGGUUCUUGUCUGAUCACCGAAGUUAAGCCACGUCAGGUAUGGUCAGUACCAACAUGGGUACCCAUUUUAGAAUACCAGGUGUUGUAUU